UAGGGAAUCUUCGGCAAUGGGGGGAACCCUGACCGAGCAACGCCGCGUGAGUGAAGAAGGUUUUCGGAUCGUAAAGCUCUGUUGUUAAGGAAGAACGAGUGUGAGAAUGGAAAGUUCAUACUGUGACGGUACUUAACCAGAAAGGGACGGCUAACUACGUGCCAGCAGCCGCGGUAAUACGUAGGUCCCGAGCGUUGUCCGGAUUUAUUGGGCGUAAAGCGAGCGCAGGCGGUUAGAUAAGUCUGAAGUUAAAGGCAGUGGCUCAACCAUUGUAGGCUUUGGAAACUGUUUAACUUGAGUGCAGAAGGGGAGAGUGGAAUUCCAUGUGUAACGGUGAAAUGCGUAGAUAUAUGGAGGAACACCGGUGGCGACAGCGGCUCUCUGGUCUGUAACUGACGCUGAGGCUCGAAAGCGUGGGGAGCGAACAGG
Molecule: ribosomal RNA, 429 nt
Filed under: Bacteroidota bacterium
Lineage: Bacteria; Pseudomonadati; Bacteroidota
Description: Bacteroidetes bacterium partial 16S ribosomal RNA
Rfam family: Bacterial small subunit ribosomal RNA
Source: RNAcentral